RNAcentral lists this long non-coding RNA (578 nucleotides) under Bos taurus (domestic cattle). RNAcentral describes it as "long non-coding RNA NONBTAT014303". The record is from RNAcentral. Lineage: Eukaryota; Metazoa; Chordata; Mammalia; Artiodactyla; Bovidae.
GUUGUGUGUGUAGUUUAUUUAUCUUAAAAUGAGACUUUAAUAUGUAAUGUGAAGAGCUAAGUCAUCUGGUUUACAGGCUACUUUAGUCUGAAAACAGUUGGAAAUGGAAGUAUACCUUUAAAGGAAAGCCACCAGAUGCGAGAGUGCACAAGGCACCCUACUAUAAUCACGUGACUGACACCGUCUGUAAUAAAAGCACCAAAAGGGUUAGAUGUGGGUCUGUAUUUAUUUUUAAAGAAUCUUUUUAUAGUGAAAAUGAGCCACAAUGGCUGCUUUGUUAUGUAUAUUUACUAUGAUAUUGGUUCUGUUUUAUUGAUCAGUUCUCAAUCCUGAGGCUUAUACCUGGGGUAAUCACGCUUUAUUCAUUUGUGAAUGAGAGUCCACAACUGAGGUGAAAACAGAAUGAGGUCCUGGUGGACAAGGCUGUAAUUCUUUCUAAGUUAAUGACGGUAAUGUAAGCCUGAUACCUAAGCAGUGUGCAUUCAGAACACGCAUACCUGAUAGCAGGUCAGGAAAAGAGAACAGGGAUUCCAGUUUAAGGGGGGAAAACUGAGAAGUCAUAACUACCCCAAAGAUGA